CACGUAGGCGGUCUGUUAUGUCGGAUGUGAAAGCCCUUGGCUCAACUGAGGAAGUGCAUCCGAAACUGGCAGGCUAGAGUAUGUAAGAGGGUCGCGGAAUUCCCGGUGUAGAGGUGAAAUUCGUAGAUAUCGGGAGGAACACCGGUGGCGAAGGCGGCGACCUGGGACAAUACUGACGCUGAGGUGCGAAAGCGUGGGGAGCAAACA
Molecule: ribosomal RNA, 207 nt
Filed under: uncultured bacterium
Lineage: Bacteria
Description: partial 16S ribosomal RNA
Rfam family: Bacterial small subunit ribosomal RNA
Source: RNAcentral